RNAcentral lists this long non-coding RNA (5019 nucleotides) under Lynx pardinus (Iberian lynx). Lineage: Eukaryota; Metazoa; Chordata; Mammalia; Carnivora; Felidae. The record is from RNAcentral.
ACCUGGCUGAAGUCGGACGCUUAACCGACUGCGCCACCCAGGCGCCCCUAAACUUGAGUCUUAAAGGCAAUUUAUGCAGAUGUCAACUGUUGUGUCUUUCCCAGUGGGAGAAAUGAGGGUCUCCGAACCUACCAGUUGGAGCCAUGACCGAACUUGAGGUCUGACCACGAAAAGCAACACAGAAACUCUUUGUACCCAUGCAAGGAACUCUACGCUAUCAUGUCACAGCCUGUCACAGCCUUGUCAUUUUACAGAAGGCAGUGUGACAUAAUGGUUAAAGAUGAGGUUCUGUGUCCAGGCUGCCUUGAGUCCACAUCCCAGCUGCCCCACCAAGUAGCUCCGUGUCCUUGGGCGAAGUCAUUUAGCAGCUCUGUGACUCUGUUUCCUCAUCAGGACAGUUGGGAUCAUUACAGCACCUACCUCCGGAUUACUUGCAGUGCUGUGAGAAUCAUGUUCUUAGUGUCCUAAGAACAAUUCCUGUAACAUAAUAAGUGCCAGGGGAGUGUUCCCUGCUUGUACUUCUUCCCUCGUAUUCUGCUUCAUUGUGAGUAUAUCUAAACAUGUCAGCUAGAAUUCCUUUCUGUUUUCAAUUAAUUUAUUUAUUUUGUUGAAGUACAGCUGCCAUACAAUCUGCUGAAGCUCUGACACUAAUCUAGUAUUCAAGGAAAGGCCUUUGGAACAUUACCACGGGUCCAGGUGGUGCUGUCUAUGCUGCAGAUUUCAGGCUACGUGCAGACGCAUGUCAAAAUGAGACUCUGGGGUAGAAAAAUCAGCUAAAAACCCUGUCCUUGGGCUGGAAGUGUCUUUAAGUCCAUCAUCUUGUUUUGCCUCAAAGUGAAAAGUAGCUACUGAUUGUCCUGAUGUGAUUAUUUAGUUGUAUUUGAGAACCUGAAUUAAAACACCCAGGCUCCUUCUGUGCUCAGCUGAAUAACCUGGUGGGGGCAGUGGUUCUUCUAAAUCUUUUUCUUGGGAGUUAGUCUCCUCUGUCUAAUCCUCUUUGCUUGUGCCCCUGGAUGCUUUCCUGAAAGUGCUCUUAAAUUGUCAGGCACGCCGGAACGGUCCUGGAUUUCGCUGACAAGUUUGACUUGCUUUCGAGUUGCUAGCUUUCUUGGGGAACCAAGGGGCAGAAUUUAAUACCCACCUGGAGCUCCAUAUGCUUCAAGGAUUUCUCCCACACUAUCCCACAAACCAAAGUUUACCAAGACAGGCACACAGCCUAGAGAGAGGUGGGGGGCACACAACCGGAUUAGGGGGGGAUUAUGCCCCACCCCCAUCCUUCCUGAAUUGAGGCUGGAUUAGUCACUGGGGCCUGACGCUGAAACACGUUUAGAAGGUUUAAAUUACCAAACCAGGGCAGGGGGGCGGGGGCGGGGGCGGGGCGGGGGGGAAAGGAGGAGGACUCUAGCAGACAUCUGGGUCUGUAAGUCACUUUCAGGAAAAGAGAAUCCUAGUGCAGAAUGGAGACAUGGGAAGAAAAAUUUGCAAGAUGAACCCCCUCUGAAUUGUGACUUCCUUGCAUUACGGUUGCUGCAGGGCACCAAGAAGAGGUAAAAACACCAAAGGAUGAAUCUCUUUAUCACUCCCGCACCCCACACCUCAGCUUCUUAUUGAAGAUAAAUUACAUGAGCAGGUAACAUGAUGUGGAGGUGGGCCUUCAUUUCCCAUUCUUUGUUUUUUUCAUGUUUGUUUAUUUUGAGAGAGAGCACGCAAGAAGGGAAGGGGCAGAGGUGGGGGGAGAGGGAGAAUCCCAAGCAGGCUCCACGCUGCCAUCUCAGAGCCCAACGCAGGGCUCGAACCCACAAAUCGUGAGAUUAUGACAUGAGCCGAAACCAAGAGUCGGACAGUCAAGUGACUGAGUCACCCAGGUGCCCCUCCCAUAUUCUGAACACUGUUGUUCUAUCCAGUACCGGGGCACUGCCUUCCCAGAGGAGUUUCUCAAUGUGUGGCCUGUGCAGCUGGCAUCAGAACCCGCUGGGGAACCUUGUUAAUCAUGCAGAUUCCCCACCCUGCCUCUAGAGAUUCUCAUUCAGCCACCGGGAGGGGGCCUGGGAACGUGCCUCUCUGACAAGCUCCUAAGGGACACUGAUGCUCGCCAAGGCUGAGAACAGUGGGAUCUCCAAGGCCUGGACCUGUAUGACAUCAAGGGAUAUCUACAGUUAGAUAAGGGGCACAUCUAGGGUGGUGGCCUUGACCGUGUACAUCCAGAGGCAUAAGUAAUGUCUCUUCCAUCACAUGCUCCUCUACCCUGCAAGAUUCUUUCGGCUGGUCUAGAAAUUAAGUUGACAUUAAUAGAAGAAAAAAAAAGUUCAAUAACAUGCAUACUGCCUGUAUAUGUGAGAGAGACCCACUCCCCACAAUGAUCUAAGGUAUCACUUUAAAUACCAUCUCCAGCUAAAGACAAAAGAAGGUGUUGGGGAUGAGCCUCUCAUUUAUGAGAGGCUCCCGGGGAAAGCACAGGAAGCAAGAGUAGAUUUAAGUCCAUGCUGUCUCUAUUGAUAACAGUUUCUGGAGAUUUAUUUAUCCAUCCCCCUCUUUCUGCUUGUGACAGAGAGAGACAUCCCUACAAAAGGGUGUUUCCCUUAUAUGUAUGAAUAUCUCUUACAAAAGGGUAAAUUCUCAGUUUUCAGAGCAUCUCUCAUGUCUGCAGUUUCUUAAAAAUAACCAGCUGAAAAUAAUCAGUGCGCCAAAGAGGCAUAUCUUGGGGUGGCAAGAUGUGCUCCCCUAUACCUUCCUCAGUGCUCACACUCAUCCACUGUGACUUUAGGUGCUCCAGCAAUAUUCCUGUCAAAAGUGUGUUCCAUAUAGGCCCCCUGUUCAAGAUAAACAAUUUCACUAUAAAAGACUAAUUCUGGUUAAUAAAUCAUUGUGUUUUUUAAGCUUUUCCCUUUGAUAUGUAAAUACGUACAGGAAAAGUUGUGAGCUCAAGCUUCAGAACCAUCUGCCCCCUCUGCUUACAGCUGUGUGACCGUGGAUCAAUAGCUUGCCCUCUCUGUGCUUCCAUUUCCUUUUUCGUAAAAUGGGUAUCAUAAUAACACCCACCUUUAGGACUCAGGAGGAGAUCUGAUAAAAUGGUGCAGGUUGGCCCCUCACACGCUGCCUGAGACUUAAAUGAGCUCAGUGACUAUUAGCAGUGAGUGAGUUUUCUCAGAAAACCCAGGAUCCACACCACCUCAACCUCUGGGGUUUACUGGCAAAUGAUGUCAUUCCCAGUGAAAUACCACAUCCAUUCAUUCAAUAAAUAGUAGCUGAGAACCUACUGUGUGCUAAGCUGUCCUCUGGACAAGGGAGAUGCAGCUGAGAACAAACAAGGACCCUGUUCCCAUCAUUUAUUUAAGAAAUAUCCAUGAAGUACCUACUUUGCUCCAAGGACUGUGCCAAGUGCCAGGGGAAAGCAGUGAAAAGCAGACAUAGUCUCUGUCCUGAGAGAUGAAAGUCAAGGUGGGAGAGACAUUAAGAAAUCGGGGGCUUCUGUUUGGCUCAGUAGGAACAUGCAACUCUUUUUUUUUUUUUUAAAUUUACAUCCAAGUUAGUUUGCAUAUAGUGCAGCAACGAUUUCAGGAGUAGAUUCCUUAAUGCCCCUUACCCAUUUAGCCCAUCCCCCCCCCACAGCCCCUCCAGUAACCCUCUGUUUGCUCUCUAUGAGUCUCUAGUGUAUUGUCCCCCUCCCUGUUUUGAUAUUAUUUUUGUUUCCCUUUCCUUACGUUCAUUUGUUUUGACUUUUAAAGUCCUCAUAUGAGUGAAGUCAUAUAUUUGUCUUUCUCUGACUAAUUUCACUUAGCAUAAUAGCCUCCAGUUCCAUCCACAUGGUUACAAAUGGCAAGAUUUCAUUCUUUUUGAUCGCUGAGUAAUACUCCAUUGUAUAUAUAUACCACAUCUUCUUUAUCCAUUUAUCCAUCAGUGGGCAUUUGGGCUCUUUCCAUACUUUGGCUAUUGUUGAUAGUGCUGCUGUAAACAUUGGGGUGCAUGUGUCCCUUCGAUACAGCACACCUGUAUCCCUUGGAUAACUACCUGAUAGUGCAAUUGCUGGGUCGUAGGGUAGUUCUAUUUUUAGUUUUUUGAGGAACCUCCACACUGUUUUCCAGAGUGGCUGCACCAGCUUGCAUUCCCACCAGCAGUGCAAAAGAGAUCCUCUUUCUCCGCAUCCUCGCCAACAUCUGUUGUUGCCUGAGUUGUUAAUGUUAGCCAUUCUGACGGGUGUGAGGUGGUAUCUCAUUGUGGUUUUGAUUUGUAUUUCCCUGAUGAUGAGUGAUGUGGAGCAUUUUUUCAUGUGUCGGUUGGCCAUCUGGAUGUCUUUGGAGAAGUGUCUAUUCAUGUCUUAUGCACAUUUCUUCACUGGAUUAUUUGUUUUUUGGGUGUUGCUUUUGAUAAGUUCUUUAUAGAUUUUGGAUACUAACCCUUUAUGUGAUAUGUCAUUUGCAAAUAUCUUCUCCCAUUCUGUCGGUUGUCUUUUAGUUUUGCUGAUUGUUUCCUUUGCGGAGCAUGCAACUCUUGAUCUCGGGGUUUUGAGUUUGAGCUCCAUGUUAGUUGCAGAGAGUACUUAAAAAUAAAACUUGGAAAAAAAAAGAAAAGAAACAGUUAUAAUCAAUCAGAUUGCACUUGUGGUGGGAAAGACAGGGUGCACUGCUUAGACAUGGUAUUCUUUCCUUCAAUCGAUAAGCUGACAGUAAUGCAUAAGCAUUGUUCAUACUCUGGAUGAAAGAAACACAAGAUACUUGCUAUAUUCCAUGUCCUGACAGAGCUUAGAGCUCUCAGUCAGAGACUGCUGAAUGCAUGAAAAAAAUAAGCAGCAACAGAAGAGGCAUCUUCGGGAAAUAUGUGCUCAAAAGCUGAAAAAAGUGGAUAAACUCACGGGCAGCAUGUGGACAGAGGACAGAGGAAGAGGUCCAAUCCCCAACCCCCAUUCAUUCAGCGUCUAGCUUCAAACCCUCUCAUGCUAUUUGCAGUCACUCCCUGCUCCCAGCCACAACUACAGGCAACCACUAAUCUGCUUUCUGUCCUUCCAGAUUCGCCUUUUCCAGA